RNAcentral lists this ribosomal RNA (749 nucleotides) under uncultured bacterium. RNAcentral's name for it is "bacterial SSU rRNA". It matches the Rfam family "Bacterial small subunit ribosomal RNA", at positions 1 to 721 of the family's 1533-position model. The record is from RNAcentral.
UAUCGCGCGAUCGCCUUGAGUUGAUAUGGCUCAGAAUCAACGCUGGCGGCGUGCCUAACACAUGCAAGUCGAACGCGAAAGCCCCGCAAGGGGUGAGUAGAGUGGCAUACGGGUGAGUAACACGUGGGUGACCUGCCUUCUAGUGGGGGAUAACGUCCCGAAAGGGACGCUAAUACCGCAUGACCUUCUGUUCUUGGAAGAACGGACAUCCAAGCUGGGGAUCCUCAGACCUGGCGCUUGAUGAGGGGCCCGCGCCUGAUUAGCUAGUUGGUGAGGUAACGGCUCGCCAAGGCGACGAUCCGUAUCCGGCCUGAGAGGGCGGACGGACUCCCUGGGACUGAGACACGGCCCAUACUCCUACGGGAGGCAGCACUGGGGAAUUGUUCGCACUGGGCGAAAGCCUGACCACGCAGCGCCGCGUGUAUGACGAAGAUCUUCAGGUCGUCAGCUCCUGUCGAGCGGGAAGAAAGCUCCUCCAUCGAAUACGUCGUGGAAUUGACGGUACCGCUAAACGAAGCCCCGGCUAACUCCGUGCCAGCAGCCGCUAGUAAUACUGUCGGGGCAAGCGUUGUUCCGAAUUACUGGGCUUAAAGGGCUCGUACGCGGACUACUAAGUCUGAUGUGAAAUCACCAGGCUUGACCUGCGAACUGCCUCCGAUACUGCAUGGCUUGCAUUCGGAACAGGGAUGCUGUAUUCCGCGUGUAGCAGCUGAAUGCAUACAUAUCUGCGAGAAUACCGGUGGCAAACG